GACGAACGCUGGCGGCGCGCCUAACACAUGCAAGUCGAACGGAGCUGAGAGAAGCUUGCUUUUCUUAGCUUAGUGGCGAACGGGUGAGUAACGCGUGAGUAACCUGCCCUGGAGUGGGGGACAACAGUUGGAAACGACUGCUAAUACCGCAUAAGCCCACGAUCCGGCAUCGGAUUGAGGGAAAAGGAUUUAUUCGCUUCAGGAUGGACUCGCGUCCAAUUAGCUAGUUGGUGAGGUAACGGCCCACCAAGGCGGCGAUUGGUAGCCGGACGGAGAGGUGGAACGGCCACAUUGGGAUUGGGCCACGACCCAGACCCGAGGGGGAGGCGGGGAGGGGGGAAAUUGGACAGGGGGGCAAACCCUGAAGCGCCGCGGCCGGGGGGAGGAAAAAGGUUUUGGAAUUGGAAACCCCCUGCGUUGGGGACGAAAAUGCGGGUACCUAAAAAGAAACACCGGCCAAAUACGUG
RNAcentral lists this ribosomal RNA (467 nucleotides) under uncultured bacterium. RNAcentral describes it as "partial 16S ribosomal RNA". It matches the Rfam family "Bacterial small subunit ribosomal RNA", at positions 28 to 507 of the family's 1533-position model. The record is from RNAcentral.